RNAcentral lists this transfer RNA (55 nucleotides) under Bos taurus (domestic cattle). It matches the Rfam family "tRNA", at positions 10 to 63 of the family's 71-position model. Rfam says of the family: Transfer RNA (tRNA) molecules are approximately 80 nucleotides in length. Their secondary structure includes four short double-helical elements and three loops (D, anti-codon, and T loops). Further hydrogen bonds mediate the characteristic L-shaped molecular structure. tRNAs have two regions of fundamental functional importance: the anti-codon, which is responsible for specific mRNA codon recognition, and the 3' end, to which the tRNAs corresponding amino acid is attached (by aminoacyl-tRNA synthetases). tRNAs cope with the degeneracy of the genetic code in two manners: having more than one tRNA (with a specific anti-codon) for a particular amino acid; and 'wobble' base-pairing, i.e. permitting non-standard base-pairing at the 3rd anti-codon position. Lineage: Eukaryota; Metazoa; Chordata; Mammalia; Artiodactyla; Bovidae. The record is from Rfam by way of RNAcentral. RNAcentral also lists the same sequence under 5 other names.
GCUUAGAUGGUAAAGCAUCUGCCUACAAUGCGGGAGACCCAGGUUCAAUCCCUGG